RNAcentral lists this ribosomal RNA (300 nucleotides) under uncultured Bacillus sp. RNAcentral's name for it is "partial 16S ribosomal RNA". The stretch from base 58 to 300 matches the Rfam family "Bacterial small subunit ribosomal RNA", at positions 553 to 795 of the family's 1533-position model. Lineage: Bacteria; Bacillati; Bacillota; Bacilli; Caryophanales; Bacillaceae. The record is from RNAcentral.
GCUAAGUUGUGGCGAGCAGCGUGUGUAAUCCGAGGGGGUGUGGGUCUGAUUGGAAGGACUUGGCGGAAGGGGGCAGGAGGGGGUUUGGAAAGUCGGGCGUGAAAUGCCGGGGGGGAACCUGGGGGUGGCGUUGGUUACGUGAAGGCUGGAGUAGGGCAGAGGGUGGUGGAAUUCCACGUGUAGAGGUGAAAUUCGUAGAUAUUGGGAAGAACACCGGUGGCGAAGGCGGCGACCUGGUCCUUUACUGACGCUGAGGCGCGAAAGCGUGGGGAGCAAACAGGAUUAGAUACCCUAGUAGUC